GAGUUUGAUCCUGGCUCAGGGUGAACGCUGGCGGCGCGCUUAAUGCAUGCAAGUCGUACGUGCCUUCGGGCAAGUGGCAGACGGCUGAGUAACGCGUGAGUAACGUGCCCUUCGGUGGGGUAUAGCCUCGGGAAACUGAGAGUAAUCCCGCAUACGAUCCGAUGACCCCGGUUUUCGGAUGAAAGCCUCCGGGCGCCGAAGGAGCGGCUCGCGUCCUAUCAGGUAGUUGGUGGGGUAAAAGCUCACCAAGCCGAUGACGGGUAGCUGGUCUGAGAGGACGAUCAGCCAGAGGGGGACUGAGACACGGCCCCCACUCCUACGGGAGGCAGCAGCAGGGAAUUUUGGGCAAUGGGCGAAAGCCUGACCCAGCGACGUCGCGUGGGGGAUGAAGGCUUUCGAGUUGUAAACCCCUUUUCCCAGGGAUGAGAAAGGACAGUACCUGGGGAAUAAGGUUCGGCUAACUACGUGCCAGCAGCCGCGGUAAUACGUAGGAACCGAGCGUUGUCCGGAUUUACUGGGCGUAAAGUGCGCGUAGGCGGUCCGUUAAGUCUCAUGUGAAAUCUCCCGGCUCAACUGGGAGGGGUCAUGGGAUACUGGCAGACUUGAGUGCAGCAGAGGGGAGUGGAAUUCCCGGAGUAGUGGUGGAAUGCGUAGAUACCGGGAGGAACACCAGAGGCGAAGGCGACUCCCUGGGCUGUGACUGACGCUGAGGCGCGAAAGCGUGGGUAGCAAACCGGAUUAGAUACCCUGGUAGUC
Molecule: ribosomal RNA, 756 nt
Filed under: uncultured bacterium
Lineage: Bacteria
Description: bacterial SSU rRNA
Rfam family: Bacterial small subunit ribosomal RNA
Source: RNAcentral